RNAcentral lists this ribosomal RNA (491 nucleotides) under uncultured bacterium. Its description in RNAcentral is "partial 16S ribosomal RNA". It matches the Rfam family "Bacterial small subunit ribosomal RNA", at positions 29 to 507 of the family's 1533-position model. The record is from RNAcentral.
AGUGAACGCUGGCGGUAGGCCUAACACAUGCAAGUCGAACGGCAGCACAGUAAGAUCUUGCUCUUACGGGUGGCGAGUGGCGGACGGGUGAGGAAUACAUCGGAAUCUACUUUUUCGUGGGGGAUAACGUAGGGAAACUUACGCUAAUACCGCAUACGACCUACGGGUGAAAGCAGGGGAUCUUCGGACCUUGCGCGAUUGAAUGAGCCGAUGUCGGAUUAGCUAGUUGGCGGGGUAAAGGCCCACCAUGGCGACGAUCCGUAGCUGGUCUGAGAGGAUGAUCAGCCACACUGGAACGGAGCCACGGUCCAGACUCCUAGGGGAGGCAGCAGUGGGGAAUAUUGGACAAUGGACGCAAGCCUGAGCCAGCCAUACGCGUGGGUGAAGAAGGCCUUCGGGUUGUAAAGCCCUUUUGUUGGGAAAGAAAAGCAGCAGGUUAAUACCCCGCUGUUCUGACGGUACCCAAAGAAUAAGCACCGGCUAACUUCGUG